GUUGACAUAAAAUUAGCUAGUACAUUGACUCACUGAGUUUAAUUAGGGUUACUGCAUGAGCACGCGUGGAAGAUUUUCACUAGAGCACAAGCAACCUAUCAGUGGGUAAGCCACCAAGGAAAGUGACACACCCUUCUAGCACCUGUUAUUUCAAGAGUUGCUCAGGGAAGAGUGGUCCUUACAAGCCCUUCCCCUUCCAUGAUGAAAUGUUGAUGAGCCAUUCCUGUCCAGGUAGUGUGUGGGCAGCCAUGGCUACAGUGAGUGAUGAGUGCAGUAGCCAUGCCAUAUCUAGACGGCAUAUUUUGUAUUUUUCUUAUCCUCUAGGACUUAUAUUUUCUACCUCCUAUUCUGUGAGCCUUGGAAGGGUGAUAGAGAUGUUCCUUUUAGGGCCAGUACUCUGCACUUUAAGCAGUUAUGAGUAUCUGCAUUAACUCCCACCUACUACAAGCAGCUUCUUUGACAAAGCCUGAGAGCAUCGGUAGUUUACUGAUGUGAACAUGGCAAUUUGAAAGGUAAUUUGAAACAUGAACAUUUAGCAAAACAAUAAUAGUAGUCAUAGUUAUAGUCAUAGUAGUAGGAGAAGAAGGAGGAAGUGGCUCUCUCCUAGGUCCUAUGACCUCUCAACCAUGGGCUUUUUUUCCAGGGUUUUACAAGUUCUCUCCUGUCUUCACAGGAUGUCUCAAAGCCGGCAAGAAAGAAGUUGGUGACCCCCAUCAUAAUCAUGCUAUUCUUAUACCGAUGGACACAUCUUGCCUGACAGGUCCCUUUGUUUGCUCACAUGGCUCACAGGGCCAUCUCCAUGUACUGGCGGUUAAUGCAUUGAUGAUUUUGGUUACUCUACAAAGCAUUACUGUCAGCUAUUUUUUUCACACCUGUGACCAAUUAUCUGAAUAAACAAUAAUAGAAAUAAUGUAUUUUAGCUCGUAUUGCAGAGGUUUUAGCCUAUAGUAUUUGGCAUACUUGCUUCUGAGCCAUGUCGGGAGAACAUCUUGACAGGGAGCAUGUGUGGACCAGGGAAGUUCACUUCUACUAUGGAUAGGGAGUACACAAGGGCCUGGGGCAAGAGAGAACUCAAAGCUAUGAUCACAGUGACUUUCUGGCUGGCCUGGACUCACUAUGUAGAUGAGGCUGGCCUCAAACUCAUAGAGAUCUACCUGCCUCUACCUCCCAAAUACUGGGAUUAAAAGUGUGCCCUACCUACCCUUGCCCUUUCAAGCUAACCCCCUUUUCCAUUUCCCCUUUCAAAUCACCUGUCUCCUGCUAUUACCCUUUCUUUUUUUUUUCACAGUUACUGUGGUGUUUAUUCAAAUAAUAAAUUCUUAAUAGUCAUUAGCAAACUUAAGCACUGGGGGUUUUGAAAACAUACAACAGGGUUUGAAAAUGCUUAUUAUAAAAUCUGGAUAUAUAUCUUCUCAACUUUGACAGUUACUGAAUAUUUGUUUGUCAGGUCUAUUCAGCUCAGAUUUUAUAGCAUAAAACAGUUACAAAUCAUACAGAAACAAAAACAUGUGUGCAAUUUAUUUAUUUAUUUAUGUAUUUAUUCAUUACGUAUUUUCCUCAAUUACAUUUCCAAUGCUAUCCCAAAAGUCCCCCAUACCACCCCCCCCACUUCCCUACCCACCUAUUCCCAUUUUUUUGGCCCUGGCGUUCCCCUGUCCUGGGGCAUAUAAAGUUUGUGUGUCCAAUGGGCCUCUCUUUCCAGUGAUGGCCGACUAGGUUUCAAGAGCCCCUCUCCCACCAUGCCCUAUUUUUCUUUCCUGGUCUCUGCAGUAACUCAGGUUAUAUACUCAAACCUGAAGAUUGAGAGUUUGGAACCACAAAUGUCUUUCUGGGUUAUAUCACUCAAUAUAAUUUUUUCUAGGCCCAUACAUUUACCUGAAAAUUUAACAACUCAUCCUUCUUUAUAGCUAACUAGUAUUCUAGAGUGUAUAUGUACCACUUUUUCAUCAUCCAUUAAUCGAGGAUGUCCCCAUUUCUUAGCUAUUGUAAACAGUGGCGAUAAACGUGGCUGAGCGAAUAUCUGUGAAGUGGUUUGUCUAGUCAUUUGGACAUAUGGUAAAUGUAUUUUUAUUUUUUUGUAAAUUUUAUACAGUGAUUUCUAGAGUGGCUGGACUAGUUUCCCAUCUCAGCAACAGUGGAGGAGCGCUGUCCUCUGCGCACAUCCUCGCCGGCGCUCGUUGCCAGCGCUUGUUGCCUGUUGGUUUAGGGAUUCUGACUGAAGUGAAAUCUCAGUGGUUUAACUUGCAGUUUCCUCAUUCCUAGGGAUGUGGAACCUUUUCGGAGAUGUUUCUUAGCUAGUUUUGUUUCUUCUUUUGAGAGCACUGUUCAUAUCCAUAGCCUGUUUUUAAACUGAGCCUUUUGUUUUCUUAACUCUUCUUUGUUUUUUAGUUCUUUGUAGAUUAUGGAUAUUAAGCCUCUAUCAUAUGUAUAGCUGGCAAAGACCCUCUCUCACUCUGGGGCUUUCUCUUCAUUUGGCUUCCUUUGUUGUACAGAAGCAUUUUAGUUCUAUAAGAUCCCAUUUGUCAAUUGUUGACACUAGUUAAUGAAAAGUUGGAGUCCUGUAUAGAACGUUUAUCCCUACACCUAUGUCUUAGUGUGUUGUCUGUUUUCCUCUACAAGUUUCAGCAUUUGGGUUUCACACCGAGGUCUGAGGCAUUGCAGUUGAUUCUGUGCAUUGGGUUUCACACUGAGGUCUUUGAGGCAUUUGCAGUUGACUUUGUGCAGGUAGUAAUGACAGAUCUAAUUUUAUGUGGACAUUUAGUUUUUCCAGCACCACUUGUUGAAAUUGUUGGUUUUUCCUCAGUGAGUAUUUUUUUUUUACUUGUAUGUCUGUAAUAUUCCAAAGAGUUUAGACAUUCUAGAUACGCUAUUUUAUGUUUUAGAAAAUUUUACAUAGUGUUUAUUUUUAACUUAAAAAAGCCUUCUUUUUGAAAAUUUCAGAAGCUAACCAAGUAAUCACGUUGGUCAGAUUACUUACUUAAAACUUCUAAUCAUUAAUUUUCUUAGAGAUAAUUUUCUGUUUUCUUUAUACUGCAGUGUGAUUUUGUCCAGAACAGUUAAGUUAUUGGUUUGUGAUAAGGUAGGAUUCCUUUUUUGUGUGUGAAGCAAAAUGAAACAGAUGAAACUUAGUUGAUAGAUAAACUAGGUACUGCAAUUCUGUGUGCUGCCUCACUGUUGUGGCAAUCAUGAAGAAUUCUGAUAUUAUCUGUGCCAGCAUUCAUGACCUCUGCUGUUUGUCUG
RNAcentral lists this long non-coding RNA (3240 nucleotides) under Mus musculus (house mouse). RNAcentral describes it as "long non-coding RNA chr2:104961429-104964669". The record is from RNAcentral. Lineage: Eukaryota; Metazoa; Chordata; Mammalia; Rodentia; Muridae.